Molecule: small RNA, 36 nt
Filed under: Propionibacterium ruminifibrarum
Lineage: Bacteria; Bacillati; Actinomycetota; Actinomycetes; Propionibacteriales; Propionibacteriaceae
Description: Propionibacterium sp. JV5 CRISPR_Spacer
Source: RNAcentral
GCGUUGAUCCCCGCGAUGGCAUUCUCAUAGUCGCCU